Molecule: non-coding RNA, 28 nt
Filed under: Mus musculus (house mouse)
Lineage: Eukaryota; Metazoa; Chordata; Mammalia; Rodentia; Muridae
Source: RNAcentral
UAUUGAUCAUAGUUUUGCUUCUGUGCCU